This 31-nucleotide non-coding RNA is filed under the name Mus musculus (house mouse). Lineage: Eukaryota; Metazoa; Chordata; Mammalia; Rodentia; Muridae. The record is from RNAcentral.
UAUGGGAUGUAAAAGUAAGAUGCUAAGCAUA